GAUGAACGCUAGCUACAGGCUUAACACAUGCAAGUCGAGGGGUAACGAGAGGAAAGCUUGCUUUCCUUGUCGACGACCGGCGCACGGGUGAGUAACGCGUAUCCAACCUGCCCCCAACUAGGGAAUAACCUUGCGAAAGUAAGACUAGUACCCUAUAAUUUCCUCAGAUGUCAUCUGACGAGGAAUAAAGAUUUAUCGGUUGUGGAUGGGGAUGCGUCUGAUUAGCUUGUUGGCGGGGUAACGGCCCACCAAGGCAACGAUCAGUAGGGGUUCUGAGAGGAAGGGCCCCCCAUUGGAACGGAGACACGGUCCAAACUCCUACGGGAGGCAGCAGUGAGGAAUAUUGGUCAAUGGGCGGAAGGCUGAACCAGCCAAGUAGCGUGCAGGAUGACGGCGCUAUGUGUUGUAAACUGCUUUUACACAGGAAUAAAGUUAGCCACGUGUGGUUAUUUGUAGGUACUGUAUGAAUAAGGACCGGCUAAUUCCGUGCCAGCCGCCGCCGUAA
RNAcentral lists this ribosomal RNA (505 nucleotides) under uncultured bacterium. RNAcentral's name for it is "partial 16S ribosomal RNA". It matches the Rfam family "Bacterial small subunit ribosomal RNA", at positions 28 to 523 of the family's 1533-position model. The record is from RNAcentral.